UGACGGAGCAACGCCGCGUGGGGGAAGAAGGUCUUCGGGUUGUAAACCCCUUUUCUCGGGGACGAGGGUGACGGUACCCGAGGAAUAAGCUUCGGUUAACUACGUGCCAGCAGCCGCGGUAAGACGUAGGAGGCGAGCGUUAUCCGGAAUUAUUGGGCGUAAAGGGCGUGUAGGCGGCUUUUUAAGUUUGUGGUGAAAUCUCCCGGCUCAACCGGGAGGGUGCCAUUCAAUACUGGAGGGCUUGAGGGCAGCAGAGGGAGGUGGAAUUCCCGGUGUAGUGGUGAAAUGCGUAGAUAUCGGGAGGAACACCAGUGGCGAAGGCGGCCCCCUGGGCUGUACCUGACGCUGAAGCGCGAAAGCGUGGGGAGCAAACAGGAUUAGAUACCCUGGUAGUCCACGCCGUAAACGAUGGACACUAGGUAUCGGUGGUAUUGACCCCAUCUGUGCCGAAGCUAACGCUUUAAGUAUCCCGCCUGG
This 477-nucleotide ribosomal RNA is filed under the name uncultured bacterium Seq9(S4). RNAcentral's name for it is "bacterial SSU rRNA". It matches the Rfam family "Bacterial small subunit ribosomal RNA", at positions 384 to 876 of the family's 1533-position model. Lineage: Bacteria; Bacillati; Chloroflexota. The record is from RNAcentral.